UUAGUGGCGGACGGGUGAGUAACGCGUGAGAAUCUGCCCUCAGGAGGGGGAUAACAGUUGGAAACGACUGCUAAUACCCCAUAUGCCGAGAGGUGAAACGAAUUUUGCCUGGGGAUGAGCUCGCGUCUGAUUAGCUUGUUGGUGGGGUAAAAGCCUACCAAGGCUUCGAUCAGUAGCUGGUCUGAGAGGACGAUCAGCCACACUGGGACUGAGAUACGGCCCAGACUCCUACGGGAGGCAGCAGUGGGGAAUUUUCCGCAAUGGGCGCAAGCCUGACGGAGCAACGCCGCGUGAGGGAUGAAGGCCUUUGGGCUGUAAACCUCUUUUCUCAAGGAAGAAGAUCUGACGGUACUUGAGGAAUAAGCCACGGCUAAUUCCGUGCCAGCAGCCGCGGUAAUACGGGAGUGGCAAGCGUUAUCCGGAAUUAUUGGGCGUAAAGCGUCCGCAGGCGGCCGUUUAAGUCUGUUGUUAAAUCGUGGAGCUCAACUCCAUCACGGCAAUGGAAACUGUUCGGCUUGAGUAUGGUAGGGCAGAGGGAAUUUCCCGGGUGUAGCGGUGAAAUGCGUA
This 567-nucleotide ribosomal RNA is filed under the name uncultured bacterium. Its description in RNAcentral is "bacterial SSU rRNA". It matches the Rfam family "Bacterial small subunit ribosomal RNA", at positions 92 to 692 of the family's 1533-position model. The record is from RNAcentral.